GUUCAGAUGACAAGUCUGAAAUAGGAUGAAACGCACGUCCUGGAU
Molecule: non-coding RNA, 45 nt
Filed under: Schistosoma margrebowiei
Lineage: Eukaryota; Metazoa; Platyhelminthes; Trematoda; Strigeidida; Schistosomatidae
Source: RNAcentral